This 496-nucleotide ribosomal RNA is filed under the name Achromobacter sp. Hu19B. RNAcentral's name for it is "bacterial SSU rRNA". It matches the Rfam family "Bacterial small subunit ribosomal RNA", at positions 39 to 525 of the family's 1533-position model. Lineage: Bacteria; Pseudomonadati; Pseudomonadota; Betaproteobacteria; Burkholderiales; Alcaligenaceae. The record is from RNAcentral.
CCCGGGGGGCAGCUUACCAUGCAGUCGACGGCAGCACGGACUUCGGUCUGGUGGCGAGUCGGCGAACUGAGGUGAGUAAUGUAUCGGAACGUGCCCAGUAGCGGGGGAUAACUACGCGAAAGCGUAGCUAAUACCGCAUACGCCCUACGGGGGAAAGCAGGGGAUCGCAAGACCUUGCACUAUUGGAGCGGCCGAUAUCGGAUUAGCUAGUUGGUGGGGUAACGGCUCACCAAGGCGACGAUCCGUAGCUGGUUUGAGAGGACGACCAGCCACACUGGGACUGAGACACGGCCCAGACUCCUACGGGAGGCAGCAGUGGGGAAUUUUGGACAAUGGGGGAAACCCUGAUCCAGCCAUCCCGCGUGUGCGAUGAAGGCCUUCGGGUUGUAAAGCACUUUUGGCAGGAAAGAAACGUCGCGGGUUAAUACCUCGCGAAACUGACGGUACCUGCAGAAUAAGCACCGGCUAACUACGUGCCAGCAGCGGCGCGGUAAUA